AUUGCUGCCUGAGUUAUAACAGCUGCCCUGGGAAUCUUGUCUGAACAACAAGUUAACUGCUGUUCCCAGUUAUAUCUGGUCUUUCCCACCCCCAAACAUACACAAAAGAUUUUUGUCAUUCUUGGCACUGGACAACAGAAGUGAUAAGACAUGCCAGCAGAACUCUAAAGGCAGAAUGUCCUUCCACCUGUUUUAUGCUGUAAGACAAACUUCCAAGUGCGAGGCAGUGUGGAGGGCUGUUGCCUUGAAUGGCAGCUGAAUGCACCAGCGGGAUCCUUGGCAGCAAUGCCCAGGCACUGAAGUCGGGCAUUCAGGAGAGCUAAAUGGAGAAAAGAAACUUGAGCAAACUGCUUCCUGGAACACUGAGAACCUGAAUGGGAAAUUAAGAAGAACCAGAUUCUUUCUAUUCUUCCACCAGCCAAGGUCAGAUUUCCAAACUUCUAUUGAUUCUAAUCUUUCCCAAACAGUGCUGUGGCAAUGUAUGAAAGUAAUAAAAAUAAUCCUUUUUCUGUUAAAAAAAAAAUUGCUGUUACUUGCUGUUUUGUUAUGCUUUUGCUGGAGAUUUUCCCACCCAUCUUAAAGCAGCAACUUCAGGAUGGGGGAAUCAAGCAAAACCAUGGUGAAGAGAUUCAUUUAAAGAGGACAAGUGAUUUAUUCUACAUCUCAGGAGACAGUUCCUUAAGGUGAUGAGCACAAAAGGAUCCAUCUUAUACAGUGCUUGCCAGCUUCCAUAAUACUACUCACCACGAUGUUGAAAUCACCUGUUCCAGAACCAGUCCUGUCCUUUGACAAGAAGGAUUUAAUUAUCAGUAGUGGUGGGGACUGGCUGGAGAGAGGAAAAACACUUCAAGGACUCUGCCACCUUUCGUAGAUGGAGAGUGCAAAGUUUGUACCAUGGAACUCCUUCUCUAACAGUUACUCUGUGGCAGUGCCUAUUUCAAACCUCCCUUAACUUCUGAUUGUAUAGAUGUUUGUUUCAUUUGUUCAUCUGUUUGUUCACUUAGUCAGAGAUGUUUUAAGCCUUAAGAGAAAUAGUGGACUAGAAAAUGCCUUGGAAAAGUACAAAGUUCAAUCCAAGUAAACUGUUUUUAAACUAGGAAUUUAUGAAGCCUAAAAUAUAAAAUGUAUAUACAUGGAUAUGCUCUGAAGUGAGGUAGAGGGGUAGAAAUCAACAUUGUGAUAUUGUACUAUAGUUUUGCAAGAUGUUACCAUUGGGGGAAAAUGUUUGAAGGGUAUACGGGAUAUCUCUGCCUUAUUUCUUACAACUGCAUGUGAAUCUACAGUUAUCUCAAAAUAAAAAUUUAAUUAACAAUUUGUAAAAGAUCCUGUCCUGGGUUUAAAGGGACCCAUUACAACUUGCUUAUCGUUGGGUAGAGGUUAUAUCCAGGGAAGAGGGAACCGAGGAGAAGUGGAGGAAAGGAGGAAGGCAUGAGAUGUUGGCCCUAACCUAGAUUGGUCCAGAGACUGGAAGUUCAAGACCAAGGUAUAGCAGAGCUGGUGUCUGGUGAGGGCUCUCCUCGUAGGUGGCAGACAGCUGCCUUCUCACUGUGUGCUCACCUGGCCUUUCCUCUGUGUUCCUCAGAGUUUGAAGAUUUGUUUUGAAUCUUGAAGAGAGAGCAGCAAGCCUUUUGGCCUAUGGAUUCUAAGAGUCACAUUCCAACAGGUGAUAUCAAAAGGACAAGGAAGCAGGGAGGGGUGACUUGCACGGAAGGUGCCCAGUGAGAUGUCUCUGCCAUGGAGAUUGUGCUGAUGCCACAAGCAAAGCGUUUGUACCCCUCUCAUCCACAAGAGAAGUCCCUCCGGGUAUUUCAGAUGAUACCUGAAAGGAUGAUAAGGCAGGGAAUCAGAGGCUGACACCGCUAUUGGAUGGACUGGGGGAGUGAAGACCAAAAGGUCAUUUUCAGGAAAAAAAUAAAUUAGGAAGUACAGGGAUAAGACAGAAGCCACCACCAAUAACUCCACACCUACAGCUCCAAAGCAUGUGAUUCAGAAGGAUCCUUGUUGAUAUUGGCCAUCACCUUGUGUCACAAUACCAGGGGCCGCAGAGAUUUAAAUAAAUGCAUCCCAGAUACAGAGUUAAAAGCAUGCCAACAAUGAGGGCUGUGUGGUUUGGAGAAGAGCAGAAGAGCACACUGCUUUCAGUCAGGCAGAGGCAGAUUAGAUUGCCUGCCACCUCCAGUGGGAUGGUGGCUCCGGACAGUCACUCACCUUCUCUAAAACCCACCUCCACCUAGUCUAUAAAAUGCAGAGAACGAACAAUGCCUACUCCACUGAAUUGUAUGAGCAUUAGAAAGGGUGUGUGCAAAUCACCUGACAUUUGGCAGAAUUCAUUACAUGCCAGCUGUUAUUGAAAGUAAUUGAAAUGUUGUCAAGCUAGUCAGAGGAAGAUUUCUAACUAAAAGCUAUACUAGCGAAAGCACUGAGAAUAGAGUGUGAUAUCUCCUAUUAAAAAACACAUACGUAUACAUAAUACAUGUAUGUAAAUACUCAAUAUUUUUAUAGAUAGUUGUCUAAUGAGAUCAUUAAAAUAUAUACAUAUACAUAAUAAAGUUGAAAAGUUUUCUCAAUAAAUAAAAUAUAUACAUAUACACAAUAAAGU
Molecule: long non-coding RNA, 2599 nt
Filed under: Homo sapiens (human)
Lineage: Eukaryota; Metazoa; Chordata; Mammalia; Primates; Hominidae
Description: long non-coding RNA NONHSAT211940.1
Source: RNAcentral